RNAcentral lists this ribosomal RNA (253 nucleotides) under uncultured bacterium. Its description in RNAcentral is "partial 16S ribosomal RNA". It matches the Rfam family "Bacterial small subunit ribosomal RNA", at positions 524 to 776 of the family's 1533-position model. The record is from RNAcentral.
UACGGAGGGUGCAAACGUUGCUCGGAAUCAUUGGGCGUAAAGCGCACGUAGGCGGUUCGCUAUGUCGGAUGUGAAAGCCCCGGGCUUAACCCGGGAAGGGCACCCGAAACUGGCGGGCUUGAGUACGGAAGAGGGUCUCGGAAUUCCCGGUGUAGAGGUGAAAUUCGUAGAUAUCGGGAGGAACACCAGUGGCGAAGGCGGAGACCUGGGCCGAUACUGACGCUGAGGUGCGAAAACGUGGGGAGCAAACAGG